GGCCCUGUAGUGAAGUUCAUAUUGAGUUGCAAGCUCAUUGAUGUGCGUGAGAGCGUACCGGGGUCU
Molecule: transfer RNA, 66 nt
Filed under: Gallicrex cinerea (watercock)
Lineage: Eukaryota; Metazoa; Chordata; Aves; Gruiformes; Rallidae
Description: tRNA-Cys
Source: RNAcentral